This 406-nucleotide ribosomal RNA is filed under the name uncultured bacterium. RNAcentral describes it as "partial 16S ribosomal RNA". It matches the Rfam family "Bacterial small subunit ribosomal RNA", at positions 30 to 526 of the family's 1533-position model. The record is from RNAcentral.
AUUGAACGCUGGCGGCAGGCCUAACACAUGCAAGUCGAACGAGUGGCGGACGGGUGAGUAAUGUCUGGGAAACUGCGUGAUGGAGGGGUAUAACUACUGGAAACGGUAGCUAAUCCCGCAUACCAUCAGAUGUGCCCAGAUGGGAUUAGCGAGUUGGUGGGGUAAAGGCACCCCAAGGAGACGAUCCCUAGCUGGUCUGAGAGGAUGACCAGCCACACUGGAACUGAGACACGGUCCAGACUCCUACGGGAGGCAGCAGUGGGGAAUAUUGCACAAUGGGCGCAAGCCUGAUGCAGCCAUGCCGCGUGUAUGAAGAAGGCCUUCGGGUUGUAAAGUACUUUCAGCGGGGAGGCGUUACCCGCAGAAGAAGCACCGGCUAACUCCGUGCCAGCAGCCGCGGUAAUAC